GACGAACGCUGGCGGCGUGCUUAACACAUGCAAGUCGAACGGAAAGGCCCUGCUUUUGUGGGGUGCUCGAGUGGCGAACGGGUGAGUAACACGUGAGUAACCUGCCCUUGACUUUGGGAUAACUUCAGGAAACUGGGGCUAAUACCGGAUAGGAGCUCCUGCUGCAUGGUGGGGGUUGGAAAGUUUCGGCGGUUGGGGAUGGACUCGCGGCUUAUCAGCUUGUUGGUGGGGUAGUGGCUUACCAAGGCUUUGACGGGUAGCCGGCCUGAGAGGGUGACCGGCCACAUUGGGACUGAGAUACGGCCCAGACUCCUACGGGAGGCAGCAGUGAGGAAUAUUGCACAAUGGGCGGAAGCCGGAUGCAGCAACGCCGCGUGCGGGAUGACGGCCUUCGGGUUGUAAACCGCUUUCGCCUGUGACGAAGCGUGAGUGACGGUAAUGGGUAAAGAAGCACCGGCUAACUACGUG
Molecule: ribosomal RNA, 468 nt
Filed under: uncultured bacterium
Lineage: Bacteria
Description: partial 16S ribosomal RNA
Rfam family: Bacterial small subunit ribosomal RNA
Source: RNAcentral